AAGAAGCAUAAUGAUAUGCCUUUUUUUUUUUAACCUCCCUGGAUAGCUUUGCAAACUUCCUUAUGGGACACGUACACAGACUGCCUGUUUUUCGGGAAAAUAAGUCUUUUGAAAACAUUUCUGUGGACUCAGUCAAGCCAUCUAAUGAACCAGGAAAUUUUUCUCCUGUAGAAUUAGACAAUGUGCUAUUAAAAGACACUGACUGUAUUGAAUUGGCUUUCUCAUAUGCUAAAACAUGGUCAAAAUAUACAAAAAACAUAGUGUCAUGGAUUGAACAAAAGCUUAACUUGGGUGAGUUUUCUUUUGGAGCAUCUGAUUAACU
This 322-nucleotide long non-coding RNA is filed under the name Ictidomys tridecemlineatus (thirteen-lined ground squirrel). Its description in RNAcentral is "lncRNA (ENSSTOG00000033145.1)". Lineage: Eukaryota; Metazoa; Chordata; Mammalia; Rodentia; Sciuridae. The record is from RNAcentral.